UUUUCCUACGGGGCGCAGCAGUGAGGAAUAUUGGUCAAUGGGCGAGAGCCUGAACCAGCCAAGUCGCGUGAGGGAAGACGGUCCUAUGGAUUGUAAACCUCUUUUGCCGGGGAGCAAGGGCCGGGACGCGUCCCGGCCCGGAGAGUACCCGGAGAAAAAGCAUCGGCUAACUCCGUGCCAGCAGCCGCGGUAAUACGGAGGAUGCGAGCGUUAUCCGGAUUUAUUGGGUUUAAAGGGUGCGUAGGCGGGCUUUUAAGUCAGCGGUAAAAAUUCGGGGCUCAACCCCGUCCGGCCGUUGAAACUGG
This 305-nucleotide ribosomal RNA is filed under the name uncultured bacterium. RNAcentral's name for it is "bacterial SSU rRNA". It matches the Rfam family "Bacterial small subunit ribosomal RNA", at positions 334 to 636 of the family's 1533-position model. The record is from RNAcentral.